GUGUCAGCCGCCGCGGUAAGACGUAGGAUGCGAGCGUUGUCCGGAAUUAUUGGGCGUAAAGCGUACGUAGGCGGUCAUCUAAGUCUGGGGUUAAAGACCAAGGCUCAACCUUGGGAGUGCCCUGGAUACUGGGUGACUGGAGGACGGCAGAGGAAAGUGGAAUUCCCAGUGUAGCGGUGAAAUGCGUAGAUAUUGGGAGGAACACCAGUGGCGAAAGCGACUUUCUGGGCCGUUCCUGACGCUGAGGUACGAAAGCCAGGGGAGCAAACGGGAUUAGAAACCCCAGUAGUCC
This 292-nucleotide ribosomal RNA is filed under the name uncultured bacterium. Its description in RNAcentral is "partial 16S ribosomal RNA". It matches the Rfam family "Bacterial small subunit ribosomal RNA", at positions 505 to 796 of the family's 1533-position model. The record is from RNAcentral.